AUGGCCAGUGCUUCUAGCCCGCCGCUAGUAGCACUCGGCGUGCUCCUCCUCCUCCUCUUGUCCGUUAGUUCGGCCAUUGCGCAUGGCGGAGGAGCAGAUCCGGUACGCCGCCGCCAGCGCUACAUGGUGGUGCAGACCAGCCACCUGAUGGAGCCAAAAUCCAUUUGCUCCGGCCUCAAGGUGACUCCAUCCGCGAAUGGUACGUGGGUGCCGCUGCACCGGCCGUACGGCCCGUGCUCGCCGUCGGAGGGCACGCCGCCGCCCCUGGUCGAGAUGCUCCGCUGGGAUCAGGCCCGCACGGACUACGUCCGAAGGAAGGCCACCGGCGAGGUGGACGACGUGCUCGACCCGGCCAGGCCGCACGUGGACAUGAUGCAGGUGGACUUCAUGAUCCGAGGGACCUUCGGCAUCGGCUCUGGCUCUGGCUACGGCGCGGUGAUCGACGGCGACGACGACGACGACCCAAUGAUCCUGGCACAGACCAUGGCCAUCGACACGACGGAGGACGUCCCGUGGAUCCAGUGCCUCCCGUGCCCCAUCCCCCAGUGCUACCCGCAGCGGAACGCCUUCUUCGAUCCCCGCAGGUCGAGCACCGGCGCGCCCGUCCGCUGCGGCUCCCCCGCCUGCCGAUCUCUCGGCAACUAUGCCAAUGGCUGCUCCAAGGCCAACUCGACGGGAGACUGCCUGUACCGGAUCGAGUACAGCGAUCACCGGCUGACGCUGGGGACGUACAUGACCGACACGCUGACCAUCAGCCCCAGCACCACCUUCCUCAACUUCCGGUUCGGGUGCAGCCACGCCGUGCGCGGCAAGUUCAGCGCCCAGGCCUCCGGGACCAUGUCGCUCGGCGCCGGGCCGCAGUCGCUCCUCUCGCAGACGGCCCGCGCCUACGGCAACGCCUUCUCCUACUGCGUCCCGGGGCCCAGCGCCGCCGGUUUCCUCUCCAUCGGCGGGCCGGCCGACGAUGGCAGUACAUUCGCGACCACGCCGCUGGUCAGGAACGCCAACGUCAUCAACCCGACCAUCUACGUGGUGCGUCUCCAGGGCAUCGAGGUCGCCGGGCGGCGGCUCAACGUGCCGCCGGUGGUCUUCUCCGGCGGGACGGUCAUGGACUCGAGCGCCAUCAUCACGCGGCUGCCCCCCACCGCGUACCGCGCGCUGCGGCUGGCGUUCAGGAACGCCAUGAGGGCGUACAAGACGCGCGCCCCGACGGGGAACCUCGACACCUGCUUCGACUUCGUGGGGGUCACCACCGUGACGGUGCCCGCGGUCUCCCUGGUGUUCGACGGCGGCGCCGUCAUCGAGCUUGACCUUCUGGCCGUGCUGCUGGACGGAUGCCUCGCCUUCGCGCCCGUCGCCGCGGAUUUCGCCCUCGGCUUCAUCGGCAACGUGCAGCAGCAGACGCACGAGGUGCUCUAUGACGUCGCCGGAGGGGCUGUGGGCUUCCGCCGUGGUGCGUGCUAG
RNAcentral lists this ribosomal RNA (1464 nucleotides) under Triticum aestivum (bread wheat). RNAcentral's name for it is "partial small subunit ribosomal RNA". The record is from RNAcentral. Lineage: Eukaryota; Viridiplantae; Streptophyta; Magnoliopsida; Poales; Poaceae.